AGUCUUGGAGUCUUGAAAGUCCCAGAUCACAGGCCCCACAUCUGGUGAGGACAUUUGUGCUGUGUCAUCCCAUGGCAGAAGGCAGGGGGCACGAGCGCAGGGGUAAGAGGAUGAGAGACAAGAGAGGGCUGAAAUGACUUUUGCAAUAAACCCACUCUCACGAUAAUGGACCCGUUUUCGCAAUAAUAAGACCCCCAAGAGCAAGGCUGGUGAAGCCACCGAAGUGGCUAUUGAUGCAGGCUUCCGUCACAUUGAUGCGGCGUUCUUCUACCAAAACGAGGAGGAGGUCGGAAAGGCCAUUCGAGAGAAGAUUGCUGAUGGCCCUGUGAAGAGAGAGGACAUUUUCUACACCACUGAGCUUUGGACAACUUUCUUUAGACCAGAAUUAGUUCGCCCAGCCCUGGAAGGGUCACUGAAGAAACUUCAACUGGACUAUGUCGAUCUCUUCAUUAUCCACAAUCCAUUGGCUAUGAAGCCUGGGGAGGAAUUGCUGCCUAAGGAUGCCAGUGGAAACAUUAUUUUUGAUACUGUGGAUCUUCGUGACACAUGGGAGGCCCUGGAGAAGUGCAAAGAAGCAGGUUUAACCAAGUCCAUCGGGGUGUCCAAUUUCAAUCACAAACUGCUGGAACUCAUCCUCAACAAGCCAGGGCUCAAGUACAAGCCCACCUGCAACCAGGAUGGACCCAGAUAGCCCAUAUCUCUUAGAGGAGCCAACCUUGAAAUCCAUUGCCAAGAAAUACAAUAGAAGCCCAGGCCAGGUUGCCCUGUGCUAUGAGCUGCAGCGGGGGGGUGGUGGUCCUGGCCAAGAGCUUCUCUGAGAAGAGAAUCAAAGAGAACUUCCAGGUUUUUGACUUUGAGUUGACUCCAGAGGACAUGAAAGCCACUGAUGGCCUCAACAGAAAUUUCCGAUAUGCUAAGUUACAAUUGUAAGUCAUGCUUGCAGAUUCUUUCACAGGCUGUUUUCUGUAAUAUGCAGGCAAACAGAGGAAUACAUCUUCCCUAAAUCAGGAAGGCAGGCCAGAUUUCAGGAAUAGGUAUGAAACAGGAGCUUCCCUAUAGUCCUCAUGUGGCUCAAUCUGUGACCCAACAGGAAUGUGAGUCAGUAAGUGAAACUGUUGACAUCUGCACCAUUGUGAAUGCACUUCUUCAAUUUUUUUUUUUUUUUUUCUGAGACAAAGUCUUGCUCUAUUGCCUAGGCUGGAGUGCAGUGACACGAUCUCGGCUCACCGCAACCUCUGCCUCCCGGGUUCAAGCAAUUCUCCUGCCUCAGCCUCCUGAGCAGCUGGGAUUAUAGGCGUUUGCCACCACGCCCAGCUAAUUUUUGUAUUUUUAGUAGAGACAGGGUUUCACCAUGUUGGCCAGUCUGGUCUCGAACUCCUGACCUCGUGAUCUGCCCACCUCGGCCUCCCAAAGUGCUGGAAUUACAGGCAUGAGCCACUGUGCCCCGCCAUGAAUGCACUUCUUUAGUGCCCUUACUACCUGUGCCCGGUCCUGCACGCAGGGCCACUGCCUAUUAGAAUAGAAGGCACGGUGUCUAUGACCCAUCAUACUUAUAGGAGCCCAUGAUAAUGUUCUAGCUUUAAUUUAUUUUAAAGUCAGAAGAAAAAGAGAAUACAACAAUGAUGAAUAUGUAAUAAUGAAUCCAGCCUCGUCUAUCUUCAUGUCUAUACCAAGGCAAUGUAAGACUUAAUUUUAAUAUUUGUAUAGAGCAUUGGUCCAUGAAAGCAAAUGUGCAUAUGUCCUAGGGAAGUCACAGUGGGCCCUGCUUCCAUGGCCUCCCCUAAGUGUCCAGUGACAUUUCUCCUUACUGUGGCAUUCCUUUUCCGAGACACCAACUAUUUCUUCCAAAUUUUUGUCUUCCUUGGCUUUCUUUACCUUCACAACUCCCAUUUCCUCAGCUAUAUAAUCUCACUAAGCUGAAUGACAAAUGAAUUAUGAAAUUAAUAGACCCUCAGUGCUAGUGACUGAGGUGUCCCCAGUGGCCUCCACCAAGUUAAGAUCCUCUGGAAUUUCUCCGGAUCUUCGAGGCAAGACUCUUACUCCAGUGUCAUCUUCGUCCAUCUGAAGCCCACCUCUAAGGAACCCAACAUAACUUCACUUUAGUUUAUUCACAAACAUGACGUUCCAUUGGAUCAACUGUGGCAGGAUCUCAGGGUUGAGGAGAAAGAUGACUAAUCAAACAGAGCCAAGUUUGGAGGGGAGUUUAGAAACAGGGCGAAAUAUCAUUUUAGUUAGGAAAAUACUCAGUCUCCAAAACACAUCUGAAAGGUCCCCCUUCUUUUUGUAAAACCAUACCAGGCUUCCAAGAAAAGACAUUUUCAAUGAGAAAAAUGUGAAAGCAACCUUUCUAUACUCACAGGCCUUAAGUAUAAUCUGUGAUCUGCCUCAUGAGACUGUGAAUGUCUCCUCUUACUCAUCUCUGUGGCCCUAUGUUAAUACAGCUCCUGGUGCAUUUAACUGCUUAGAAAGUACUCUUUAAUGACACUCAAUUAAAAAGAACGAAUUAUAAAAAAGAAAGCCCUUUUUGCCAUUAAGGUAACAUAUUUUCAGGUUCCAGAGAUAAGGGCAUGUAUGUCUUUGGGGGCCAUUACUGAGCCUACUACACUAGUUUUGUAAGUAAAUUUAGAGCAACUAAACUUUAGUUUUCUAAUUUUUGUAAUAGAAAGAAUUCUAUGUCCAGCCACUGGAUCCUGAAACUCUAGACUUUUAUCUCAGAUAUCAAGAGGAAAACCACAUGAAUAAAUACCUGUUUCUUUAAAGCUGAUGUAAUCUUGACCCUAUUGUAUUUCCUCCUUCUGGAUACAUGCCCUUCAUUAUUUUAUUCUAAAAUUUAUUCUCAGGAUCUGUUGACAUUGUCUUUUGUUGUUCAUAUGGAAAACUCAAGCUUUUCAGUUUGCCAACAUUCUCAACUCUUCAGAAUUUCUACUGAUGUCUAGAUUAUACUUCAGGCAAUGGAUCCCAUGUUUACUACUUAAACGUGCUUCAUCUAUGAAACCUUCAGUUGGACACAUCUUAUAUUAAUGAAGUCUCUUAACUCUGCAGUUUCUACUAUACCUUGAUUUAUCAAGUUCUUGAUUCAUCAAGAGUUGUCAUUAGGUCUCUCUUCUUUCCUCUUUGCAUUCUUUCAAUACCCAUAGAAGUUUACGUAUGAAAAUUAGGCUAAAUAAUAUACUAAAUUGAAAUUGAUCAGACUCCACUUAUUCUACACAAGUAAGUUUGGAAACAUCUAAUUUAAAGAAAAGCACUUUCUCACUAUGGUUUCAGCAGUCAAGAUGAUUGCCUUUCCAACAUCAGUUUUACUUUAAAUAAUUUGUUUAGGUCAGCCAUGCUAAUUUCAUUGUGGUUGGCAUAGGAGUCACUGUGGAUAAAGAGUUGUGACCCAGCCUUAGCCAACGCCACAUAAGAAGCACUGUGCUGGGUACUUCUAGGAGAGUUUCUCUCACUUCUAAGAAGGAGCCUUUGAAGAGAGGUUGCUUCUCUUCUUCAAGGGGAUAUUGUCCCAUUGCAAGGUGAGGUGUGAAAUUGCUGUGGAGUCUCCACCCAGCCUGAGGACGACAUCAAUACACAGAAGAAGAAAAAGGAGAAGAUGAGAGAAAUUCUGCACUCUCAUGGAUGACACCCAGAGUUUACCCUCCCUCUGGACUUCUUGUUAUGGGACUAACACAUUUUUGUGGAUUUUAAACCAAUUUGAAUUACUUUUUUUGCACCUGCCUGUACUCUAAUCCAAACAACCAUCCAAGUUAAUAAUUUUCUCUUUACAAUGCACCCUGCAUUUUGUACCUAUACAAGAGUGGUCAGAAUGUGUGAAAACUGCUGAGUCAUCCUGACAGCAUGGCUCCAGUAGAUUCUAGGGGUCGGCUAUAGUAUUGAGUGAUAUUAAAAUAACAAAUAAUGCACAAAAGGCAUGGAUCUAAAAAAGUCUUUAGGAAUCUUCACUCACUGAGAGCUCAUAUUCAGGACACAGUUUCUUCUUCAAAUCACCUUGGACAAACUUUGAUAUCUGAAGGUGGAAACCAUCCCUUUUCCCUCUGGAGCUGGAGUGAUGUUCACGGAAGGCAAAGCAGCUGGGCCUGAAUGGGGCUAAGCUCUGGGAGCCAUGAGUGUCUCCACAGAAACAGAGCAGGACACCCGGAGGGACCACCCAAAACCUUGGGUCCGUUUGUGAGGCCAUCAGAUCCUCAGCUGGCAUUUGACAAGGAGGAUCAAGGUUGCAACAGCCUAAAGAAGUUUAAUUUCAAGAAAACAGGCUGAAAGAAUGAGAGUUGUGACCAACUCAGUAUACCACUGGAGGCUAUAUGAGCAAACAGAAAACUGUUCUUAUGAAAGCAGGAUGUUGGAAAACUGAUAACUGUGUCUGCCGCCAGAAGGGGUGCUGAGGGCAGUCAGGCCUCAUGCACAGUGUUCCUUGUGAUUAUCUAUAGGAACAUCUGAAGCCUGUUGUACAAAGAAAGCAAUUAUGUGGACCUGUGAUAAAUCAAGCAGUGGACCAACCAUUAGCUCUCCCUCCCUGCUCUUUCUACCUAACAAAUAUGAAAGACUGUAGAAACUCAGGGCUGCCUUUGCUCUCUAGAAGCAAGGAGCCCCUGACCCCCUCUUUCAAAAUAGGUCUUUUCGUCUUUGUCUUUACUUCUGCAUUCGACCCCCUUCAUUGACCCUGUAGAAACUGUCAGUGACAUUCUCUUUUCCCUUGUAUUUUCUAAAUUUUCUAUAAUUUGCAUGUUAUUUUAAUAAUUAGUGAGGGCAUCAAAGAAGUGGAUUUACAAUGGUGCAAACAUUGGCAGUUUCAGUUAGGAACUCAUAUUCCUGUUGGGUCAGAGAUUGAGCCCUGGAGGAAACCUCUGGUCUGAGGGCUACAGGGAAGCUCCUGUUUCAUGCCUAUUCCUGAAAUUAGGCCUGUCCCUCUGAUUUAGGGAAGAUUUAUUCCUCUGUUUGUCUGCAUACUACAGAAACAGCCUGUGAAAGAAUCUGCAGGCAUCACUUACAAUUGUAACUUAGCAUAUUGGAAAUUUCUGUUGAGGACAUCAAUGGCUUUCAUGUCCUCUGGAGUCUACUCAACAAUUUUUCUUCAAAGUCUAAAGGAGAUUUUUUCUUCCAGCAUAAUAUUCCGUGCAGUGCAGAAAGUCUUUUCUUUUGCCUUUUGGUAAAUGGCCUAAGAGAUUUUACAGUUUAUUGAGAGAAUUCCUAUGCCAUUAUCAUUAAGUUUUGGUUUGCUUAGAAUGUAAAAAAAACUGAGAUUAGAACAAAUUUUUAAAAAAGUAAGGUUAUUACAUCUGUAUAUCUUUCUGUAUGUGCUUUUAAAGUCCUUGUGACAUUGAGUUACAGGGCUUUGACUCCUGGAUCUAUAAAGGACACCAAGUCCUGCUACAUCUUAAACACUGACAACAAUUAAAGCCUCAUCUUCAGGCGCAGUAGAAGAUGCCAAUCAAAAUAAAUUGCAUUCCUGAGACAUAGGGCCAGAAAUAAAAGCUAUUCAACUCCUCAAGGCCCCAGGACUAUUGUGGAAGAGGUGGGUGUGUGAGAUUGAAAGGGCCAAUUUUGAGAGACAAAAUAAGUUCAAUUUCUCUGUAAAUUAAUCAUUAAUGUCAAAGGCACACUGAUGCAAGACAAGAAUAUGGCCCCCUGUGACAGAUUAACAAGGUUUUAGUGAAGCAUUAACUGACUCCUUAAUAAAGGUUAUAAAGGUUAUAAAAGGCUUAAGAAAGUUAUAUCCUAUUGUCAAGAUUAAAAGUUCAUAAAUUGUUAAUAAAAUUUUGAAAAACAGAUUUAAU
RNAcentral lists this long non-coding RNA (5768 nucleotides) under Homo sapiens (human). RNAcentral's name for it is "non-protein coding LINC02561:13". Lineage: Eukaryota; Metazoa; Chordata; Mammalia; Primates; Hominidae. The record is from RNAcentral.